UACGAAGGGGGCUAGCGUUGCUCGGAAUCACUGGGCGUAAAGCGCACGUAGGCGGCCUCUUAAGUCGGUGGUGAAAUCCUGGAGCUCAACUCCAGAACUGCCUUCGAUACUGGGAGUCUCGAGUCCGGGAGAGGUGAGUGGAACUGCGAGUGUAGAGGUGAAAUUCGUAGAUAUUCGCAAGAACACCAGUGGCGAAGGCGGCUCACUGGCCCGGUACUGACGCUGAGGUGCGAAAGCGUGGGGAGCAAACAGG
RNAcentral lists this ribosomal RNA (253 nucleotides) under uncultured bacterium. RNAcentral's name for it is "partial 16S ribosomal RNA". It matches the Rfam family "Bacterial small subunit ribosomal RNA", at positions 524 to 776 of the family's 1533-position model. The record is from RNAcentral.